Molecule: ribosomal RNA, 466 nt
Filed under: uncultured bacterium
Lineage: Bacteria
Description: partial 16S ribosomal RNA
Rfam family: Bacterial small subunit ribosomal RNA
Source: RNAcentral
GACGAACGCUGGCGGCGCGCCUAACACAUGCAAGUCGAACGAGCGAGAGGAGGUUUCCUUUCUCAAGCGAGUGGCGAACGGGUGAGUAACGCGUGAGCAACCUGCCUCAAAGAUGGGGACAACAGUUGGAAACGACUGCUAAUACCGCAUAAGCCCACGACCCGGCAUCGGGUAGAGGGAAAAGGAGCAAUCCGCCUUGAGAUGGCCUCGCUUCCGAUUAGCUAGUUGGUGAGGUAAUGGCCCACCAAGGCGACGAUCGGUAGCCGGACUGAGAGGUUGAACGGCCACAUUGGGACUGAGACACGGCCCAGACUCCUACGGGAGGCAGCAGUGGGGAAUAUUGCACAAUGGGGGAAACCCUGAUGCAGCGACGCCGCGUGGAGGAAGAAGGUCUUAGGAUUGUAAACUCCUGUUGUUGAGGAAGAUAAUGACGGUACUCAACAAGGAAGUGACGGCUAACUACGUG